This 72-nucleotide transfer RNA is filed under the name Neotoma lepida (desert woodrat). It matches the Rfam family "tRNA". Rfam says of the family: Transfer RNA (tRNA) molecules are approximately 80 nucleotides in length. Lineage: Eukaryota; Metazoa; Chordata; Mammalia; Rodentia; Cricetidae. The record is from Rfam by way of RNAcentral.
GGGGGUGUGGCUCAGUGGUAGAGCACUUGCCUGGCAAGCAUAAGGCCCUAGGUUCUUUCCAAAGCACCACAA